Molecule: ribosomal RNA, 500 nt
Filed under: uncultured bacterium
Lineage: Bacteria
Description: partial 16S ribosomal RNA
Rfam family: Bacterial small subunit ribosomal RNA
Source: RNAcentral
AUUGAACGCUGGCGGCAUGCCUUACACAUGCAAGUCGAACGGCAGCACGGGAGCCAUCCUGGUGGCGAGUGGCGAACGGGUGAGUAAUGUAUCGGAACGUGCCCAGUCGUGGGGGAUAACGUAGCGAAAGCUACGCUAAUACCGCAUACGAUCUGUGGAUGAAAGCGGGGGACCGGUAGGCCUCGCGCGAUUUGAGCGGCCGAUGUCAGAUUAGGUGGCUGGUGGGGUAAAGGCCUCCCAAGCCGACGAUCUGGAGCUGGUCUGAGAGGACGACCAGCCACACUGGGACUGAGACACGGCCCAGACUCCUACGGGAGGCAGCAGUGGGGAAUUUUGGACAAUGGGCGCAAGCCUGAUCCAGCAAUGCCGCGUGCAGGAUGAAGGCCUUCGGGUUGUAAACUGCUUUUGUACGGAGCGAAAAGGCUCUCUCUAAUACAGGGGGCUCAUGACGGUACCGUAAGAAUAAGCACCGGCUAACUACGUGCCAGCAGCCGCCGUAA